RNAcentral lists this ribosomal RNA (301 nucleotides) under uncultured bacterium. RNAcentral describes it as "partial 16S ribosomal RNA". It matches the Rfam family "Bacterial small subunit ribosomal RNA", at positions 509 to 809 of the family's 1533-position model. The record is from RNAcentral.
CAGCAGCCGCGGGAACACAGAGGGUGCGAGCGUUAAUCGGAUUUACUGGGCGUAAAGCGUGCGUAGGCGGCUUCUUAAGUCGGAUGUGAAAUCCCUGAGCUUAACUUAGGAAUUGCAUUCGAUACUGGGAAGCUAGAGUAUGGGAGAGGAUGGUAGAAUUCCAGGUGUAGCGGUGAAAUGCGUAGAGAUCUGGAGGAAUACCGAUGGCGAAGGCAGCCAUCUGGCCUAAUACUGACGCUGAGGUACGAAAGCAUGGGGAGCAAACAGGAUUAGAUACCCCCGUAGUCCCUGUCUCUUAUAA